This is a transfer RNA of Ovis aries (sheep), 69 nucleotides long. It matches the Rfam family "tRNA". From Rfam's summary of the family: Transfer RNA (tRNA) molecules are approximately 80 nucleotides in length. The record is from Rfam. Lineage: Eukaryota; Metazoa; Chordata; Mammalia; Artiodactyla; Bovidae.
CCUGGUGGCUCAGAUGGUGAAGUGUCUGCCUGCAAUGCAGGAGACCAGGGUUCGAUCCCUCGGCCAGGA